UAACACAACUACCCCACUACCUGAGAUAUCUACGUAACUUAACCAUCUUAAACUUAAUUAUGACUUAAUUUGAUUACAAAUAAUAUCAAUAGACAGUUAAUAGCAAAUACCUAUAUUAUAUACAAGAGUCAAUUUUUACUAACGAAAGCACAUAUUCUUAUAACUACGAUAUAUUUCCGGGUGAGGGGGAGGAGUAUGAAUUUCAAAAACAUAUCUCAAUAUGACUUAUUUCUUUAGGUACCUUUAAUUUAUCUAGAUGAUUUAGUUAAUAAAUAAUUAAACUUAGAUCAUACAAUAUGAUCUAAUUAUAUGAUGCAAGCAAUACAAAUUAUGCAACUUAAUGUACCUAAUGUAUUACGAAGAAUUUGUAAACAAAAUUUCAAUAUAUUUUGGAGAAGAGU
Cinara cedri is the source of this 401-nucleotide non-coding RNA. The record is from the annotation of a GenBank genome assembly. NCBI's taxonomy places the organism in Eukaryota, Metazoa, Arthropoda, Insecta, Hemiptera, Aphididae.